UACAUUUUAGUAUAUGAUGUACAAUAGCUUUUGAUGCUUUAAGAGAUAGUUUAAUUCUAUUAAAUGUAA
This 69-nucleotide transfer RNA is filed under the name Platyneuromus soror. RNAcentral describes it as "tRNA-Gln". It matches the Rfam family "tRNA". From Rfam's summary of the family: Transfer RNA (tRNA) molecules are approximately 80 nucleotides in length. Their secondary structure includes four short double-helical elements and three loops (D, anti-codon, and T loops). Lineage: Eukaryota; Metazoa; Arthropoda; Insecta; Megaloptera; Corydalidae. The record is from RNAcentral.